CCACCAGAUUUGUUUCUGUCAGAGACUGACGCUGAAAAAAUGGCGCGCAAGGGAAAGAGAACCAAUAACCCUAAUAGCGACAGCGAGGACGACGAAACCUUCUAUUACCGGUAUCCCUCCGCCGCCUCUUCUGCCCCGCCGCCGCCGUCGGCUUCACAGUCGCACUUCUCAUCGCAAUCGCACUCACACUCAUCCACCAAGUUCAGUGGUGGUUCCGGAGGUUUGGUUCCUUCGAAGUCUACUGUAUAUGUUUCCAAUUUCGACUAUUCACUCACUAAUUCCGACCUCCAUACUCUCUUCUCCACCUUCGGUAAGAUCGCUCGUGUUACGGUGUUGAAAGAUCGCCAGACUCGCAAGUCUCGCGGCGUUGCUUUCGUCCAGUUUAUUUCUCAGGACGAUGCAGUCAAGGCCGCGAAACAGAUGAACGGGAAGAUUUUGAAUGGUCGCGUUCUGAAGGCUGCCAUAGCGACUGAUAAUGGUCGCGCCGCUGAGUUUAUAAGGAAAAGGGUUUAUAAGGAUAAGAGUAGGUGCUACGAAUGCGGCGCAGUUGAUGGCCAUUUGUCUUAUGAAUGCCCUAAAAAUCAAUUGGGGCCAAGGGAGCGGCCAGAACCGAAGCGGGGGAGAAGGGGUGGAGUCGGUGCUAGGCACGAGGAGGAUUGGGGAUCGGAUGUUGGAGAAGGGUUCGAGGAUGACAAUUGGGCCUCGGUGGUGGACGGAGAUGCAGACCAGAGACUCCUGACUGGCGGUGAGAACGUUGUCGAAAAGAAAAAAGCGAAGAAAGCGAGUUAUUUCAGUGACGAGAGUGACGAAGAUGAUUAACAGAGCUCGUCUCUUUGGGAAGAAUUUGCGAAGGCCUCUUGUGCAUCCACAUGAUUACUUUUUUCUCCCCUGAUGAAGUCCCGAAGACUAAGCUUGAUGGCUUUGUAAUGCAACAUUGUAUAUGAGAGCAUAGCUCAGGAUGUCUCAAGAAUAACGUUCACAAGAUUGUUCAGAAGAUGUCACUUCACAUUAAGCUAUUAGUAUCCAGUGGAGGAAGUCGACUGCGUCACUGGUCCUUUGAUCACUUUCUUCAGCUACUAAUUUGCUAGGAGAGGACAGAAAACAAAGUUAAGAAAUGGAGGAAUACUACCGUUCUGGAAGAGGGGAAAUGAGCUUGAUCACUGGUAUUUACUUUAGAACUCAAGGACACAUAUAUACAACUUAUAUAACAGAUCCUGUUUAAGUAAGGUUGUUGAUCACUGGUAUUUACUGCCUAUCUUCAUUUAUUGUUCCCUUUGAACAAGCUUUGGCUAUGGAUAAAACAUUUUAGUCUCUCUCGAGGUGGAGGUCGAGCCAAAGCAAGAUCCAGUCAUUUGAUCAAUUUGAGAAAUAUUUCUUCAAUGACUUGGGGGUAUUGGAAAUAUUGGGAAGAAAAAUGUUGCUCUUAUUUUGUUGAAAUGGCUAUUCAAGUUUCCAAUGCUAAGCAUUGUGUGUGUAUGUUAUGAAAGAAAGUAGUGUGGGUGUGGAUCGUAAAUAAGGAUAAAGAUAUCCAUCAAUAUAUCUGUAAAAUUGAAAUCUCAAUAUCGAUAUUGAUAUUGAUAUUUUAAUCCUUGAUCGUAAA
RNA transcript from Benincasa hispida (wax gourd), 1600 nucleotides. It is a transcript of the gene named U11/U12 small nuclear ribonucleoprotein 31 kDa protein, with no coding region annotated. NCBI's taxonomy places the organism in Eukaryota, Viridiplantae, Streptophyta, Magnoliopsida, Cucurbitales, Cucurbitaceae. The record is from RefSeq and is a predicted model, not a curated record.